CCCCCCAACAAAAAAUCCAGUCCCUCUUUAAACGUACAUUGCUCUCACACUUGUUUUAACUAAAUGAUUACCAUAUAUAUAUUGAAAUCAUUUCAACAACAUGCUCCUGUCGUACUGACGUGUUUUCAUUCAGCAAAGCUCUGCAUGACCUGCAUCUUCAAGGUCACAAAAAGUUUGUCUUUCUUGAACUGGUUUCCUGAUUUAUUUGGAUAACAGACGCUUUUUCUAUCGACACUGCCACUCUCUUGACUCUUGUAGAUCGAACUUUAACAGAUUGAAGGUCAGAAUGUUUGUUCCGAUUCCACAGACCUGUUACCUGUUACCUAUUCUGUAAAUUCCACCUUUUCCAGAUGAACCACUUCAGUUGGGAAAUCCUAAGGUAAAGGUAUGGGGAAAUCUGGAUUUAGAAUAUUUUUUUGUCAUCUGCUUGACCACAAUAAAGUCAAUGCUUAAUAGAUAGAGCAAUAAUUUCCCUUAUACAGUUUAAUAAAACAAAUUUAAAAUUCAGAAAUAAAGAUAAUUCAUUUAAUCAAGACUACUAAAUAUGGACCUAUUCAAGUACACCUUUUAGGGUGUGCUUGACUGGAUUGUAUUUUUAUAUGUUGUGUAGGACUUUUUGUAAACGAUAAAUGCUGGCAUGGACAUAAUACUUGUGUAUACAACUGUGCAAGUAUUGAACAUCGCAGCUUGAAAUUUAUGCAAUGUGACCUAAAAGACAACAUAAUAAUGGACAGAUGUUCUCUGGUUGUUCGUACUUGUUGGCCACACACAUGAAGAUAUUGAUCCUGCUUUCAGCUAAUAUCAGAAAAAUUAAGAACAAAGGAUGCUGAAACUGUGCAGUCACUGUUCAGGAUUAUUCCAGAUGUUUAAAAAGUGAAAUUAUAAUACAAUAUAUGUUACUGGUUAAUUCCUAUGAUUAGUAAUUUUAAACAACACACAGAGACUUUGCAUUAUUGUUUUACAAGAGCGACACCAAAAGAUGCAGUCAACAUUUAUCAUUUUUAUCAAAAUACACCCAGGACAAACCAUGGAUACACUUAGACUGAAAUUUGGUGCUUUCUUACCAAAAUUGCCUGGACGUAAAAGAAAUGAAGAACCUAAAUUCAUGACAACAAUCAGGAGAUACCAGAAGAACUAGUAUAAAUGGUUAAAGAUGAAAGAAUGCAGAAUAAGGCAGGAUUGAAAGGAAGAAAGAACUAGUCAUCAGUAAAGAAACAGAUCAAUUUAUAUAACAUGUAAUAAUUCCAUCUGAAUAUAACAAACAUUGCACAUGUUAUGAAGAUUUGUUCACAUGUCUACUCUGAUUUGUAGUUAUGCAUUUGUAAUAUUAUAUAGUACAUGUAUUUUAUUUUAGAACAGUAUUUUUUUUUUGCUGUGGAGAACAUCAAAGAAAUUUAGAAAAAUAUAAUUAAAGAUAGUUUCUUCCAUUUUUUCUGUGACAAAAAAAAAUUGUGCAAAUUAGGACAAUGAAAUGAGGCUAUAUUAUUAAAUAUUUUUGAGUUUUAUUUUUUUUUACAUCCUAUUUUAAAAUUUCAUUGGCAUUUGAAGUAAUGAGUUGAAACCAGUUUUUAUCAAUCAUUUUGUUUUCAAGAUGUACAAACAGUACAGUAGGUUAAGUCUUUGGUGUACAUUAGUUUACUAUGAUGUUAAGGUCAAAUAAACUUGAAACUUUGUACUUACAAGUGUUCAUUAUGAAGUCAUUUUUAUACGACCGCAAAAAUUAAAAAUUUUUUGGUCAUAUAUUGGUAUGACGUUGGCGUCGUCGUCGUCGUCGUCGUCGUCGUCGUCCGGCGUCGUCUGGCGUCGUCCGAAGACACAUUGGUUUUCGCACUCUAACUUUAGUUUAAAUGAAUGGAUCUCCAUGAAAUUUCACCAUAAGGUUCAAUACCACAAAAGGAAGGUUGGGAUUGAUUUUGGGGGUUAUGGUACCAACAGUUAAGGAAUUAGGGGCCAAAAAGGGGCCAAAAAUAAGCAUUUUUGUAACUUUCAGACAAUAACUUGUGUGUAAGUGUAUGGAUCUCUCUGACAUUGUACCACAAGGUUCCAUAUCACAAAGGGAAGGCUGUAAUUGAUUUUGGGGGUAAUUGCCUCAAAAUUUUAGGAAUUAGGGGCCAAAAAAGGGGCAAAAAACAAGCAUUUUUCUAGUUUCAUGACAAUAACUUGUGUGUAAGUGUUUGGAUAUUUCUGAAAUUGUACUACAAGGUUCCAUAUCACAAAGGGAAAGCUGGAAUUGAGUUUGGGGGUAAUUGCCCGAAACGUUUAGGAAUUGGGGGCCAAAAAGGGGCCAAAAAUAAGCAUUUUUCUAGUUUCCAGACAAUAACUUGUGUUCAAGUGUAUGGAUCUCUCUGAAAUUGUACUGCAAGGUACCAUACCACAAAGGGAAGGCUGGGAUUGAGUUUGGGGGUGAUGAAUCAUAAGGGGUUUCAAAAAAUUGGGGGGGGGGAUUUUUUUUUUUUUUUUUUUUUCUUUUUUUCCUUUUUUUUUUCUUUUAAAAUUUUCCAUUUUAAGUUGGUUAUUUCUGAUUUAUAUUUAAAAGCAAAUAAUAAUGAUAUGGUAGGAGAUACACACCAAACAGGAUGUGUAAAUUAUUAUAUAAUAAGUAUUGUGCAAUAGCAAGAAAUUUUCAAUUGCACAGUAUUGCACAAUAGCAAGAAAUCUUCAAUUGCACAGUAUUGCGCAAUAGCAAGAAAUCUUCAAUUUAACAGUAUUGCGCAAUAGCAAGAAAUAUCCAAUAGCACAAUAUUGCGCAAUAGCAAGAAAUUGUCAAUUGUACAGUAUUGCGCAAUAGCAAGAAAUAUUCAAUUGCACAGUAUUGUGCAAAAGAAGAUACUUCGUAUAAAUUGCUUAUUUCUUGAUCAAUUUCAAUGGGGUUUUAUUCUUGAAUUCUUGGGGUUCUUUAAUAUGCUGAAUCUAACCGUGUAUUAAGUUUUUGGAUUUUGGGCCCCGUUUUUAAAUUGGUCCACAUUGAGGUCCAAAGGGUCCAAAAUUAAACUUUGUUUGAUUUCAUCAAAAAUUGAAUUAUUGGGGUUCUUUGAUAUGCCGAAUCUAACCGUGUAUUUAGAUUUUUAAUUUUGGGUCCCGUUUUUUAAAUUUGUCUACAUUAAGGUCCAAAGGGUCCAAAAUUAAACUUAGUUUGAUUUUAACAAAAAUUGAAUUCUUAGGGUUCUUUGAUAUGCUGAAUCUAAACAUGUGUUUAGAUUUUUGAUUAUGGGCCCAGUUUUCAAGUUGGUCCCAAGUUGGGGUCCAAAAUUAAACUUUGUUUGAUUUCAACAAAAAUUGAAUAUAUGGGGUUCUUUGAUAUGCUGAAUCUAAACAUGUAUUUAGAUUUUAGAUUUUUGGCCCAGUUUUCAAGUUGGUCCAAAUUGGGGUCCAAAAUUAAACUUUGUUUGAUUUCAACAAAAAUUGAAUAUAUGGGGUUCUUUGAUAUGCUGAAUCUUACCAUGUAUUUAGAUUUUUUAUUUGUGGGCCCGCUAUCAAAUUGGUUCAUAUUGAGGUCAAAAGGGUCCUAAAUUAAACUUUGUUUGAUUUCAUAAAAAAUUGAAUUAUUGGGGUUCUUUGAUAUGCCAAAUCUAACCGUGUAUUUAGAUUUUUAAUUUUGGGUCCUGUUUUUUUAAAUUGGUCUACAUUAAGGUCCAAAGGGUCCAAAAUUAAACUUAGUUUGAUUUUAACAAAAAUUGAAUUUUUGGGGUUCUUUGAUAUGCUGAAUCUAAACAUGUGUUUAGAUUUUUGAUUAUGGGACCAGUUUUCAAGUUGGUCCAAGUUGGGGUCCAAAAUUAAACUUUGUUUGAUUUCAACAAAAAUUGAAUAUAUGGGGUUCUUUGAUAUGCUGAAUCUAAACAUGUAUUUAGAUUUUAGAUUUUUGGCCCAGUUUUCAAGAUGGUCCAAAUUGGGGUCCAAAAUUAAACUUUGUUUGAUUUCAACAAAAAUUGAAUAUAUGGGGUUCUUUGAUAUGCUGAAUCUUACCAUGUAUUUAGAUUUUUUAUUUGUGGGCCCGCUAUCAAAUUGGUUCAUAUUGAGGUCAAAAGGGUCCAAAAUUAAACUUUGUUUGAUUUCAUCAAAAAUUGAAUUAUUGGGGUUCUUUGAUAUGCCAAAUCUAACUGUGUUUUUAGAUUUUUAAUUUAGUGUCCCGUUUUUUAAAUUUGUCUACAUUAAGGUCCAAAGGGUCCAAAAUUAAACUUAGUUUGAUUUUAACAAAAAUUGAAUUCUUCGGGUACUUUGAUAUGCUGAAUCUAAACAUGUGUUUAGAUUUUUGAUUAUGGGACCAGUUUUCAAGUUUGUCCAAGUUGGGGUCCAAAAUUAAACUUUGUUUGAUUUCAACAAAAAUUGAAUAUAUGGGGUUCUUUGAUAUGCUGAAUCUAACCGUGUAUUUUGAUUUUGGACAUUGGACCAUAAUAGGUAAAUUAAAAAAAUUGAAGUUCUUAGACCACAUUCUUUCUGUGUCAGAAACCUAUGCUGUGUCAAAUAUUUAAUCACAACCCAAAUUCAGAGCUGUAUCAAGCUUGAAUGUUAUGUCCAUACUUGCCCCAACUGUUCAGGGUUCGACCUCUGCGGUCGUAUCAAGCUGCGCCCAGCGAAGCAUUUUAUUGUAAAA
Long non-coding RNA from Mytilus californianus (California mussel), 4591 nucleotides. RefSeq lists it as uncharacterized. Lineage: Eukaryota; Metazoa; Mollusca; Bivalvia; Mytilida; Mytilidae. The record is from RefSeq and is a predicted model, not a curated record. The transcript has 4 exons.